AUGCAGCUGACGAGUCCAAAAUAGGGCGAAAUGUGCAUUUUGGAU
RNAcentral lists this non-coding RNA (45 nucleotides) under Trichobilharzia regenti. Lineage: Eukaryota; Metazoa; Platyhelminthes; Trematoda; Strigeidida; Schistosomatidae. The record is from RNAcentral.